RNAcentral lists this ribosomal RNA (366 nucleotides) under Triticum aestivum (bread wheat). RNAcentral's name for it is "partial small subunit ribosomal RNA". The record is from RNAcentral. Lineage: Eukaryota; Viridiplantae; Streptophyta; Magnoliopsida; Poales; Poaceae.
GUUGCUCGGGUGGUUUGGAGGACGGUUGGGUGUGUGUUGGGCACAUCUCUUUGCCCGAACAAUAUCUGGCAGUAUUUCUCCUGGUGUUACAUAUUCCUUCCUGAUGGGGCUAAGUUUUAUACCUUUGGUUUGGCAGCCGUUUGCUGGGCAAUCUGGAACUGUCGCAACCAGGCUACUUUUGAACAAAAAAUGCUUAAGACUCCAUUUAAUGUGGUGUAUGCUGCUUGUGGUUUUUUGAUAUACUGGGCAGGUUUGCUGGCUGGUGAUGAUCGGGAGGCCAUGGAGCGCGGAGCCAAGAUGCUCAGGUCCAAUGCUUCGACAAUGAUGAGAAUCUGUGCGGCUCCAACCAAAUCAGCGAUGGACUGA